RNAcentral lists this ribosomal RNA (343 nucleotides) under Tomentella cf. coerulea EL226. Its description in RNAcentral is "LSU rRNA". It matches the Rfam family "Bacterial large subunit ribosomal RNA", at positions 1758 to 2104 of the family's 2925-position model. Lineage: Eukaryota; Fungi; Basidiomycota; Agaricomycetes; Thelephorales; Thelephoraceae. The record is from RNAcentral.
ACUUAAAUAUUUAUGGUGGUGUCACAAAAUCGGAGGCCCCGACUGUUUACUAAAAACACAAUUCAGAGCAAUGAUGUAAAUCAUAGUAUUCUGGAUGAAAUUUGCCCAAUGCCAUUAACAUAAAAGAGGUAAUGGGAAACUGUUACUAAUUGAAAGUCUGGUUAAUAGCGGUCUUAACUAUGAGGAUCCUAAGGUAGCAAAAUCAGUUGGCCAUUAAAUGUGGUCUGGUAUCAAUAGUGUAACGAUGGUCUCACUGUCUCUACAACUUGCUCAGUGAAAUUGAAUUAUCCGUGCAGAUGCGGAUUGCCUCCAGGUGGACGGGAAGACCCUAUGCAGCUUCUAC